UAAUAAAGAAUAAAUUUUUCAUGAUAGUAUUGAAAGAAUUUCUCUUUUUGUUCACUGUUAAUAAUUUUAAUUAGAAUUAUGGGAAUAGACAAAGAUGAAAUCCAAGGAAUACACUGGAUGUACCCUAUUGUUGGACUCCCACAGGCACCGCUCCCUAAAAAUGCUCCACCUGUCAUAAAAUGCAAGUCUAGUAAGAGUGUAGAAAUGACAAUGGAAAUCACAUUGAUUGGCGAUUUUUUUAGAAAUAAUCCUACACAAGAAACAACAGAUUUUUUAGUGGUUCCAAAAGGAAGUUCAUGUCAUAAUGUUUAUGAAGAUUACAUUGUAGUUCCUAAAACACGUGUAUUGACGUAUGAAAUUGAAUAUGAAUCUGAAGUUAUGAAGUCUAAAUUGGAAUCCAUUGUAGAUUUACAGUUGAGCACACAAAGUUAUGAUAUCCAAAGUGAAACAAUAUCAUUGGUCUUCAAGAUAGUAUUUACACCAAAGAAACCAUUCAGGUCUGAUAUUUUAUUGAAAAUAGAGAGUGUAAAAGAUGGAAUCUGGAGGUUUCCCUUGAUCUUGAUAGCUACUGCUCCUGAAGUGGAAAAAACCAUUAACAUAAAAGCAGUUGGUUUACAAAAGGAAUCUACUAUGGACUUUAGGCUGACAAGUCAGACAAGAUACACCGAACGAUUCACUGCCUACUUCCUACCUGGAAGCGAUCCAGAGUUUUUUGUAAAACCUGAGACUGGAGAACUUCCUCCAUUUUUUAGUGAAGGAAUACUCAUCUCUGUAGGAUUUAAACCGCAAAUGUACAGUAAGAAACACAAAGCAACAUUAGUAAUACAGACAGAAGAUACGUGCUGCUUGUAUGAAAUCAAUGGGUUACCACCAGAACCCACACCUCUGAUGAACGUAAAACCAAAAAUUAAUACUAGUAACAAAAUGUAUGACAGUAUGCCCAUUCGUCACCGCAAUUUUAUCCGUGAAAAUGCUGAACUCAUAAGGACCGGGGUGUCUUCUACCAUUAAGGGUGCUCCUUUGGUGAUGAAGAGAAAAUAAAAAAAAAAUUUCCAAAUCAUUUCUUGGUUUCAACCAGUAUUGAAUGUUUUCAUAUGACUCAUUAUAACCAAUUAUAAUUGUUGUUUGAUGUUUGAGAUAUUCCUGAGGAUUAAUAAUUUAACAAUAUCAGGUCUUCUAUAUUUUCUUGUAUUUUAAAAUGCUGUUCUAACCAAUCUCUA
This 1220-nucleotide long non-coding RNA is filed under the name Cavia porcellus (domestic guinea pig). RNAcentral describes it as "lncRNA (ENSCPOG00000001096.4)". Lineage: Eukaryota; Metazoa; Chordata; Mammalia; Rodentia; Caviidae. The record is from RNAcentral.